This 4169-nucleotide ribosomal RNA is filed under the name Triticum aestivum (bread wheat). RNAcentral's name for it is "partial small subunit ribosomal RNA". The record is from RNAcentral. Lineage: Eukaryota; Viridiplantae; Streptophyta; Magnoliopsida; Poales; Poaceae.
UCCAGAUAUGAAGUCAUUGGUCCUCUGGCAACAAACAGUCUUACUGCAGCGUAGGGAAGACACCGUCUUCUUCAAGUUUCCACGUUGACCUCCAAAGGAAAUGGCCGCAUAGCAGCACGGCAUCUCCUCCCCAAUCGAUUCAUCUUCCACAGCAAGGGCAUGCUCCAAAAUUGUAUUGUUGUCGUGAAGAGGAUAAUUGUGAGUGAACACACAGUGGAUGACAGGUUUUUUGAUUGCGAGGUUAAAAACUUGAUGAAAGUUAGCCAUCUGAAUGUAGUCCGCUUUCUUGGCUUCUGUUCAAAUACACACCGCGAAGCAAUACAAUUUCCAGGAUCAGCAGAUUUCGUUUUCGUCCAGAAAAGAGAAAGGUUACUAUGUUUCGAGUAUAUCAACAAUGGAAGCCUUGAUAAACAUAUUACCGAUGAAUUGAGAGGGCUUGAAUGGAGUGUACGGUAUGAAAUAAUCAAGGGGAUUUUACAUGGUUUGCGUUACCUUCAUAUGGAGAUUAACAUUAUCCAUAUGGACCUCAAACCUAGUAAUAUAAUGCUAGACAAUGAUAUGGUGCCAAAGAUAACUGAUUUUGGUCUAUCAAGACUUGCUAAGAUCACACAUACCAGUGGUACCCGUUUUAUAACACAUGGAUACUGUGCUCCAGAAUACGAGAACUGUGGGAAGAUGUCAAAAAAGGUUGACAUGUAUAGCUUGGGAGUUAUAAUCAUUGAACUCGUAACAGGACGUAAGGGUGAUCCAAAUAAGACUAAUAUCAGCCUUUGCAUGGAUGAUGACAUGCUUGGAAUCAACCCGCUCGAACUAAGGUUUCCCUUCGAGCUUCAAAAGCAGAUGUCAUCCAUGGUAAUGCUAAUCAACAAGACAAAGAAUUACUAUGCUUUCAAUAUCGAAACGCCAGGCAAGCAGUACCGUACAGAACCAAACAAAGGCAUUCUGUCACCACAAUCCGAGGAUACUAUCCAGAUAACACUGGAAAUACAAGAGACUACACCGCACGAUCUGCCGUACUCCGACAAUUUUAUAGUGCAAAGCACAAAAGUCAAUGGGGAUUUUAGGGCCGAGGAUAUCACCAAAUACAUGUUCCAAAAAGAGCCAGUUGAAGUGGAUGAGGUAAAUUUGACGGUUGUAGUAUAUGAGAAUGAGGGACCUAAGGAAGAUCUCAAGAUUCGUGAAGAUACCAAGAAGAAACAAAAAUCGAUGAUUGAAUCUGCUUUGAGCACGGACAAACCUGGCGUUAACACAACUCACGAAGCAGAGGCCAUUCACAUGGAGAUAAAUUCUAUCAGCUACAAAUAUGCACGAGGACAAUGUAUCAAGCAACCAGAGCGUCUUAGUUUCCUCACAACUCCUAGACUUUUGUGUAAUCAGCAGACCAACAUGAGCGACAGAGCCGUGGAUCUUGUAACUGGGGCCAUGGGCAGCCUACACCAUAAGCUUGACGAUCUCCUCAAGGAAGAGUACAAUCUAGAGAAAAGCAUGAAGGGAGAAAUAGAUUUUCUAUCAGAAGAGCUGAGGGAUAUGCAGCUAGCCAUCCGGAAGGUGUCGGGGGUACAUCGGCACAACCUUGACGAUGAUGUCAUGCACUGGGUUGACACUGUCAGGGAGAUGUCAUAUGACAUUGAGGAUGUUGUUGAUGGUUUCCUGGUACACGAUGAGCCUCCAUCUAACACAAGCUUCUUCAGGGGGCUCAUUGAGAACAUGUUCAACCACUUCAAGUGGGGCAAGACUCACAAUCCAAUUGAAGAUGCUGUCAAAGAUAUCAAGAAACAAGUUGAGGUUGUGGCUGAAAGACGUAAAAGGUGGAAGGUUGAUGAAACAAUGGCUAAUGUAGCUUCCAAAAUUACCAUCGACCCUCGCAUUUCGGCUAUAUACAAAGAUCAGAAAGAACUUGUUGGCAUCAAAGAGCCAAGUAAUGUGCUAAUUCAGUGGCUUUCUGAUAAGGAUGGGGCUAUGGACGUGUCAAAACAGCAACUCAAGAUAGUCUCUAUCGUUGGAUUUGCAGGAUUGGGCAAGACAACACUUGCCAAGGCGGUGUAUAACCAGCUUCAAUCCCAGUUUGGUCCUAAGGCUUUUGUUCCAGUGGGUCGUAAUCCUAAUUUGAAAAAUGUUUUUGAGGCAAUUCUCCAUGGACUUAGCAAAGAAUCGAAUGCAGAAAACUUAAACGAAAUGCAGCUCAUCAACAAAAUCCGAGGAUUGCUCAAGAACAUGAGGUACUUCAUAGUAAUCGAUGAUAUAUGGGAUUCCCCAGCAUGGAAUCUUAUUAAAUGUGCUCUUCCAAAUGACGAUUGUGGCAGUUGUGUGGUGACAACUACAAGGAUUCGCUCUGUUGCGGAUGACUGUUACAAACACAGCAGAGGAUAUGUUCAUGAGAUGAAACCACUAAAUGGCCAAGACUCGAAAAACCUAUUUGUUUGUAGAAUGUUUGGUUCCCCUAAAGUACCAGAAGAUAUUUCAAAUGAUAUUCUGAAAAAAUCUGGUGGCUUGCCCCUUGCUAUUAUUAGUAUAGCAAGUCUUCUCGCACAUAACCAAAGGCCAGGAUGGGAUUCUAUAAGGAAUUCUUUGGUGUCUGUGUUUGAAGAAAAUCAUGAUGAUCUUAAAGAUAUGAAGCAAAUAUUGGAUCUUAGCUACAUGCAUCUCCCUCAUCAUCUUAAGACAUGCCUUCUUGAUAUUGGGAAGUACCAAGAGGACCAGGAGAUAGAGAAGGAGGAUAUGUUGAGGCAAUGGACAGCUCAAGGUUUUGUGAGUGCAACUCGUGUGCGUGAUGCAGAGGAUGUCGCAGAAGACUACUUCUAUGAACUCAUCAACAUGAGCAUGAUCCAACCUGGCAAGAUGGACUUCGAUGAGGUGUUGUCUUGCAGAGUGCAUGAUAUAAUGCUUGACCUUAUCAGAUCCAAGGCCACGGAAGAGAAUUUCAAUCUUUUAAUAGAUGGGCCAAAAGUUGUUAGAGGGGAACACAAAAGGGUCCGUCGAGUGGCCAUUUACUAUGAUGGCGAAGAAGAUGGCGGAAUACUGGCAGCAAUCAAUGAUGGAUCACUAUCGCAUGUUCGAUCAGUCUUACUUUUCAGAGGGUGUCUUGUGCCUUCUUUUCUGGUGCUGAAGUAUAUCCGAGUUCUUCAGCUUGAAGGUGAAAGAGGCCAGAGUCUAGACCUCACUGGUAUCCGUGCAUUAUUUCUACUAAGGUAUCUAAAGAUUUAUUGCAAGAAAGGUUUGACGCUACCUAGACAAAUUGGCGAGCUACAACAAUUGGAGACAUUACAAGUUGAAGGGUUAAAUGAACUGGCAUUUCUCCCAUCAGAUAUUUUUACUUGGCCGCGGUUGUCACAUAUUAGUUAUUUAGAUGGUGUCGUGUUGCCUGACGGGAUUAGUGGCUUGAAAUCUCUGCGCACUCUGCGAGGUAUUGCUUUUUUGGAAAGCUCAGUGGACAAUAUCAAGGGCCUUGGCGAGCUGACCAAAUUGAGGGAACUUGAGAUGUUUUCGGAACUUCGGAUCUGUAAUGAAUCGGAUAAAUUCGAGUGGGACAUGCAUAUUGAUGCCUUGCGCUCUUCCAUUGUAAAGCUUUCGGGUAGUCUCAGGAGUCUUACUAUCGGAGAAGGAUGCCUCACCUUGCUACCGGUCCAUGGGUGGAGCAGCACACUAACCCCACCUCGCCAUCUUCAGAAACUCAAUCUGUCUAGCUGCGAUUUCCGAAGAAUCCCCGAGUGGAUCUCUCAGCUCCGUGAGCUCUACAGUUUAACACUUUUCGUCAGGGAGCUGGCUGAUAGUGUCAGUAUCGUUGCAGGGUUGCCUUCCCUUGCAUACUUAGAACUGGAGGUUGGCCCUAUCAAUUUGCAGUCCUCCAAGGAGAAGGUAAUCAUCUCAGGUAGGGAAUUUGGAGCGCUCAAGCACCUGAUUUUGCGAUGUCCCAAUCUGUCGCUGGAAUUCAAGGAAGGUGCUCUGCCCAGGCUGGAGAAGCUCCACAUAUGCUUCCGUUACUUCAUGUCUGCUGAAUUCCUACCGGUUGGCAUUAAGCACUUGCCAGUUGGCACUCUUCCGGAAAUCCGUUUAACGAUGGUGUCCACGGAAGAUACGGGGAAAGUGGCUUGCCAUAUCGAACAACUCAAGGCAGUUAUUCGGCUACGGUUGAAGAGAGCAUUUGAGCUGCAUCAUGCUACUGCCGACAU